GGUUUGUGGCUCCAUGGUAGAGCACUCACCUAGCAUGUGGGAGGUGCUGGGUUCAAUCCUCAGCACCA
Molecule: transfer RNA, 68 nt
Filed under: Marmota monax (woodchuck)
Lineage: Eukaryota; Metazoa; Chordata; Mammalia; Rodentia; Sciuridae
Description: tRNA.Ala
Rfam family: tRNA (bases 5-65)
About the family: Transfer RNA (tRNA) molecules are approximately 80 nucleotides in length. Their secondary structure includes four short double-helical elements and three loops (D, anti-codon, and T loops). Further hydrogen bonds mediate the characteristic L-shaped molecular structure. tRNAs have two regions of fundamental functional importance: the anti-codon, which is responsible for specific mRNA codon recognition, and the 3' end, to which the tRNAs corresponding amino acid is attached (by aminoacyl-tRNA synthetases). tRNAs cope with the degeneracy of the genetic code in two manners: having more than one tRNA (with a specific anti-codon) for a particular amino acid; and 'wobble' base-pairing, i.e. permitting non-standard base-pairing at the 3rd anti-codon position.
Source: RNAcentral